This is a long non-coding RNA of Suricata suricatta (meerkat), 762 nucleotides long. RefSeq lists it as uncharacterized. The record is from RefSeq and is a predicted model, not a curated record. NCBI's taxonomy places the organism in Eukaryota, Metazoa, Chordata, Mammalia, Carnivora, Herpestidae. The transcript is spliced from 4 exons.
GUGGGCAUGACCUGGCAGGCAGGGGAUUAACACUUGGGCUCGGACAUCAGGCCGUCUUAGCUCAGAUGCCAGCUGCCUGGGGGACGGCUGAGAGCUGCCAACAGCCCAAACCUGGAGCCAUGGAAGAUGGAGGGGCCGAUGGAACUGAACUGGGUGCAGCCUUUCCCCAGGUGGACCUGGGCCUCCGGCUCCAUGGCGUUUCCAGGCUAUUGGCAUGAGCCCUGUUCCAUUAUGACACAUACAAGUGUGAGGUAUCAUAGCCCACUUAAAACUAUGCCAUUCUGACCAGAUGGGAAGCAGUUUGAAGUUAGAGACCAUACGUGUUUCCUUCAUUGUUCCUGGCACUUGAAAUCUUGAGAGGUCAUCUAAUUCAACUUUUCACAGAUGAGAAACUGGAGGGAAGCAUUCUCAGUGGUGACAAGGAAUGCCCUAUUUAGGUUUUUUUCGUCUAACUGGAAGACUAAGAUAUAACAUGUUGGGCCAUUAUCUAAAGAAGGAAAGAGCAUGACGGCAUCUUCCAGCUGAGUUCCACAGCUUCAUUUUUGACAUUAGUUUCUAAUGGUGGCACAGAGCAUGUUUACAGACCAGAAGAGCCCCACCAAAUGGUCUAGGACUUGGAAGUGUAUUAAGCCUAAGGUAGAAUAAUUUGGUUUUCAGCUGAGUCACUACCGAAAGACGUAAGAAAAAGUGUUUUCCUUUCUUUUAUGUCCCAGAAAGAAGUUCAUGUUUACAAUAAAGGGAUUUUCAUUCCACAAAAGUUCA